GAUGAACGCUAGCGGCAGGCUUAAUACAUGCAAGUCGUGGGGCAGCAUGAGUAGCAAUACUUGAUGGCGACCGGCAAACGGGUGAGGAACACGUACACAACCUUCCUUCAAGCGGGAAUAGCCCAGAGAAAUUUGGAUUAAUACCCCAUAAUAUAUUUGAUAAGGCAUCUUAUUAAUAUUAAAGCUUCGGCACUUGAUGAUGGGUGUGCGGCUGAUUAGAUAGUUGCGGGUAACGGCCCACCAAGUCUACGAUCAGUAGCUGAUGUGAGAGCAUGAUCAGCCACACGGGCACUGAGACACGGGCCCGAUUCCUACGGGAGGCAGCAGUAAGGAAUAUUGGACAAUGGACGAAAGUCUGAUCCAGCCAUGCCGCGUGAAGGAUUAAGGGU
Molecule: ribosomal RNA, 389 nt
Filed under: uncultured bacterium
Lineage: Bacteria
Description: bacterial SSU rRNA
Rfam family: Bacterial small subunit ribosomal RNA
Source: RNAcentral